AGAAGGGUCUGGCUGCAGACCAUGGGCGAGUGGAGCUCCACUCUCAAACCGGAAAUACGUCACCUCCACUUGAAAACAUCAAGAUGGCGUCGCCGGGAGUACUUCAAACUUAAACUCAGGGAUAGGAUUGGCAUGGAAGAUGCAGCACUCUUUACAUUUUAAAUAUCAAAUGUAUAUCAAGUGUUAUCCAUCCUCAUAACACCUCCACAAAUAGAGAGUGGAACUUCUGAGCACCAUCACCUUGUCUGCUUUGGGGCUGUCAUAGUUGAAUGAUGCAGUACUAUUCUGUGUUGAAUUUACCUAACGUCAGCACACAGACAUAGUAUUGUUCCAGUUUUGCUGUGCUCAUGUCUUCUUUGUGUCCCCAGCCCAGCAAUCAGAUGCAUCAGAACAACAAAGCACAACUGUGGUGGACCAGGCACCUUCAGCAACAAAGAUUUAACAACACUGUCAGUCAGGAGCAUAUUUAACAGGAGGCACACUUCAGCUGGCUUGAUGGUGACUUCAAGCAAUGUCAAGCAAGUUAAGAAACUGUAGACGAAGCCUUGCUGCAGCUUUGGAUCAAGCAGCAGAUGUUUCUGAUUUAUCAUCGUCGUCUCCAAACAACUGCAGCCUGAUUACAACAUCACAGGAUGACACGAAUGAGGACUUUCAGUGGCGCACACGGUCUGCAAAACUGCAAGAUCUUCAUGGGCUCCUCGAUGUACAGACCUUGGAGGAUCUUGUGGCAAAGCUGGAGUUUGAAAAUGAGCUGAACCGCGUCUACAGUAGAUUCCUGCAAAGUCAAAACCAAGAGCAUGGAGAGAACACAGAAAGUGUGAAUAGUGAUGUGGAAGAGGGAAGUGCAGGCCGCUGGGUUCACGAUAGUAAGGAGGAAUAUUCCUUCUUGUUAGACGUGAUUCUUGAGAUAGAGCGGGACAAUGACUUCACUGCUGACUGUGAUGUCAGUGCUUUGGAGCGGGAUUUACAGUUAUCAUCAUAGUUUUGGUGCCCUCAACUAUUUUAUAUAUUUCAAAACACAAUAUGAGCUACUAAAAACUUCUGGCUACUUGGAAAGUUGUAUAGAUGUAUGUUUGUAUAGCAGAGUUUAUAGCAAUACAGUAUAUGCAUGACUUUCUUAAUUACUACUUGUGUAAAUUAAUUCAUUUCUGCAAUAGGAAUCAAUAUCAAUAAAACAUUAAUAAUCACCCCAUUGAUUCUAAAAGACAUGUAAUCUAUUUUAAUAAAACAUUGAUCUGUUUAAAUUACACAGAAAAAAACUGCAUUAUCUGCCUUUCUCUGAACAAAAAACAGAUGACAGAACUGGUGGUAAAAUAUUCUAUAUUUGUUCAGAUAUAUUGCUAUUGAUCUAAGUUUUAAUUUGUUUUUGUUUUUAUGUCUAUAUAUAUUAGACUGAAUAAAAUAGUAGAAAUACUACUAGUGGUCUACACAGUUAAAGAUUUUCUUUAUUUGCUUGUUAUAAUUUCAGUUUAAUGACUAAAUAAACAGUGUUUUUGUUUAUAAUAGUAAAAAACAUUACUAUUAAUCUAAAUCCUUUUACAUGUUUUAUUUUGUUCUAAUAUCUUUAUACUUAUAACACUGAAUAAAAUAUUUACAGGUUAUGGCCACUAGUGGUAAAUGUAUGCUUUUGUUUAGAAAUGGUAGAAAUAUUAUUGUGGAUCUUUAUGGCUUUAAUUUUGUCAUAUCUAUAUACAGUAUGAUGUUUCAUUUAAAUAUAAUCUCAAAAUAACAAGUCUGUGUCAUUUUAAUUAGGUAAAUGACUACAUAAGCAUAUGACACAAGUAUGACAAAACAUCACUUGCACUGUGGAUAGUUUUUUUCAGCAUAUGCACAAAGUGCACAAAGUGUCAGCAUGACAAAGCAAAAUCUAAACUGGAUUCACUAUCAUGCUGAUGAUUAAAACUACGGUUAUUUAGUUAGAAUUUGGAGG
RNA transcript from Carassius auratus (goldfish), 1930 nucleotides. RefSeq lists it as uncharacterized. NCBI's taxonomy places the organism in Eukaryota, Metazoa, Chordata, Actinopteri, Cypriniformes, Cyprinidae. The transcript has 7 exons. The record is from RefSeq and is a predicted model, not a curated record.